CAACUACUCCCUCCGUUCGGAAUUACUUGUCUCAGAAAUGGAUAUAUCUAGACAUCUAGAUAUAUCCAUUUCUGAGACAAGUAAUUCCGAAUGAAGGGAGUAGUCA
This is a non-coding RNA of Triticum aestivum (bread wheat), 106 nucleotides long. The record is from Rfam. NCBI's taxonomy places the organism in Eukaryota, Viridiplantae, Streptophyta, Magnoliopsida, Poales, Poaceae.